GUCUUGGUGAUUCUAGCGAAGGGGGUACACCUGAUUCCAUCUCGAACUCAGAAGUUAAGCCCUUCAGCUCCGAUGAUACCUAAUUUAUUGGGGAAAGUAGGUCGUCGCCAAGACA
RNAcentral lists this ribosomal RNA (115 nucleotides) under Candidatus Moranbacteria bacterium GW2011_GWE1_35_17. RNAcentral also lists the same sequence under 1 other name. The record is from RNAcentral. Lineage: Bacteria; Candidatus Moraniibacteriota.